GGGCCGUUAACUCAGUAGGUAGAGUAUCUGCCUUUUAAGCAGAGAGUCGCGUGUUCGAAUCACGCACGGCCCA
Molecule: transfer RNA, 73 nt
Filed under: Desulfovibrio sp.
Lineage: Bacteria; Pseudomonadati; Thermodesulfobacteriota; Desulfovibrionia; Desulfovibrionales; Desulfovibrionaceae
Also listed under: 3 other names
Description: tRNA-Lys
Rfam family: tRNA
About the family: Transfer RNA (tRNA) molecules are approximately 80 nucleotides in length. Their secondary structure includes four short double-helical elements and three loops (D, anti-codon, and T loops). Further hydrogen bonds mediate the characteristic L-shaped molecular structure. tRNAs have two regions of fundamental functional importance: the anti-codon, which is responsible for specific mRNA codon recognition, and the 3' end, to which the tRNAs corresponding amino acid is attached (by aminoacyl-tRNA synthetases). tRNAs cope with the degeneracy of the genetic code in two manners: having more than one tRNA (with a specific anti-codon) for a particular amino acid; and 'wobble' base-pairing, i.e. permitting non-standard base-pairing at the 3rd anti-codon position.
Source: RNAcentral